This 1478-nucleotide long non-coding RNA is filed under the name Equus asinus (donkey). RNAcentral describes it as "lncRNA (ENSEASG00005033577.1)". The record is from RNAcentral. Lineage: Eukaryota; Metazoa; Chordata; Mammalia; Perissodactyla; Equidae.
AGCUCUCUGUCCGCCACCAAGCUCCUCUCUCCUUCCACACCCUCCAAGAAAAGUGACUUGACAAUAAGGCGGUCCCGCUCCCCAGCUCUCUCCUCCGCGUCAGUCCGAGCGGGCGCUGCCGCGGAGAGGGGCGCGUCUCCCCAGCCUGGAGAGCGAACCCGCGGGAGCGGAGACCUUCCUUUGUGCCUUCCCUUGGCCGUGAACUUUCCCGCUCGAGUUAAUUGCCCUGCAGCGAGGCCAUCUGACACCUCAGCCAAGGAAUACAGCAGAGAAGGAAUCCUCCACAGGGGGACCACAUCACCUGGGUCUGAGAGGACUGCUUCCUCAGGAAACCUUUCCUGGGAAUCUGGUGAGAGUUGGAGGCAAGUUUCCUGCACUUAGAACUUGUUCGGAAAUUGACAUCUAAAGAGGAGAGAAGCACUUUGUCACCCAGACUGGGCCCCUACGGCAUCAGAAAACCUUUCCACUCUUGGUGAACCCCUGAGACUGCCCCCCCACCCAAGAGGCCCCUUCACAUUGUUCGAUGUCAGUGUCCUGCUUGCUUUCCUUGGAAAGGUCAUGGGGACUCAGACACCCGCCAACCCCACGGGCUCCGGCUUCUCCAGCGCUCUCCCUUUCGCCCAGCAGGGAGGCUUGUGGAGCGCUUCUGGGUCUGCAUUGCCAGACCAGACUGCAGCCCAUGACCUUCCCGGGGCCAACCAAGGGCGAGGUAUGUUGCCCAACAAGACCACAGCCUCACCGGGCCGCCCAGGAACAACCACCGACAAAGGCUCUGCGGGCCCUGGCGCAGCCACCCACCCAUGCCCGCGGGGCCUGCAGGAGUGCUGGGGCCGAGGCUGCAAAGCUGGGUAGCCAGCCCCACACCAUUGACAGCCCAGGCACGUUUGCGGAACCCAGGGGAACAAUCAACGGACUCUAUGUCCCGGGAGCUGGGGAUACGCCUGUAAGAGUGUGAUGUUCCAGCCCAACUCAAUGGGCUUGCCUUCUCCUGAGAGGCAGUCCUGGAGGACAGAACUAAUGUGCCAUCUCCCAGGAAGCUCUUCAUCAGAAUAUCCCUUGUCCUUUUGUUUUUGUGUUAAAAAAGUGUUUUUACUUUCUCUGAGUGUCUGUCCUGUUAUUUUGUAACUACAACAAUGAAAUGUGGACGACAGUUGAUAUAAUUCUUGUGGUCCUUUGUAAACAUGCUUCAUAUUGGGGCCUCACACAGUCCCAGCCAUACCUCAGGUGUGUCCUGUGCUCUUGACAUUCACUCACGACUCAGGAGUCACCCAGAGAUUAACACUUCCUUCUGCCUUCCUCUGGACAGCUCUCUCCCAAACAAUGCUCCUUUCCCAACUCAUAGGGGAAGGGGAUUCAGUUAGAGAAAGCUUUCUGAAUUAAAAAAGAUGAGCCUCAGGUUCUCCAGGUAAUUGAUACUGGCUUACACUGGUGGCUAGGAAGCCAUGCCAGCAUCUCCCUAGGUAUAACUCCUCUCAGGA